GUUAUUUAAGCUAUUCAGUUGGCCAAUGACCAGAUUACUUGCCCAGUCCAGCUUCCACAAGGAGUGGGGAACGGUCUAUGGUUUUUUGUUUUUGUUUUUUUUUCACAUCUUGCCUGCGGAUAUGUACUUUCAUUGAGCUCCUUAUUUACAAAUUUUCAGUAAUAAGUGCGCCGUUUUCAGUAGCACGGUUUUGGAGGAGAGUGAUUUGAGGCUUUCAUAUUAAUGGGGUAUAGAAUUUCCUCCCCAUGUUAAGGACUGACGAGCUUUCAUAAACUACCCCUAGAGGGCGCUCAUCGGCCAGCAGCGGGAGCAAGAAGCCCCCAGUCUCUUGCAACAGGACCAGACUAGUGGUCUCCAGGGGCAGAGCACAACAGGCCCAUGAAAUGGUUGAAAUAGACGCCCUUUACAGUUUUUCUGCAUUCUCUCACCUAGUGGUCUCUCAGCUGCACUGCAAAAUGUAUGCUCAGUGGAAAAUUCUCCAAUUAACACUUAAUCAAGUGGCCCAACAGACCACUUUUCCUCCCAGCUGGCCUCCAGCUUUGAAGAUAAUCACUGGCACCCAGACAGGAAGUCCCAGGGCUCAGCCGUGGGUUGGGGGAUCUCCUGUAAAGCCACAGCAACAGCCCCGUCACCCUAUUCUAUACCUCCUGAUUUGCCUUGGAUGUGGCGGUCUUUAGAACACUGGGCCAAAUACUGUAAACCAUUGAGGGUUUGCCUUCUUGAAUGCUCAUGUGUGGGUACACGAUAAGAUCCUUGUUGCGAUGUCUUUGCUGUGUCUUUGCUGAGACCAGCAUGUCCCAGCGAAGUUAAGCUUGACCAAAACCCGAGAGCAUGUUAGCAUUUGCCGUGGGAUUGACAAGACAGAGCUGCACUUGGUGGUCUGCUGAAUCAUUCUACGUGUUGUCAUCUAAUGGAUCCUUCCAGGCUUGUUCAGAUGGUUGGAGGGUUGUGUUUGAGAAUGGUAAUUCCUGCUUCAAAUCCUGAAUGAUAACUCGUAUGUGUAUACAUUUCCUUCUAAGAGGGAAGAUCUGCCCUGUAGACGUUACUUCUAUACUCUUCAUUUUCCUUCUGUCAAACUCUAAAUAAUGUGGCCUACAAAACUGAAAAAGCAGCAAAAAUAAAAUGUCUUUUGGUAAUGAUUUCA
Molecule: long non-coding RNA, 1144 nt
Filed under: Ursus maritimus (polar bear)
Lineage: Eukaryota; Metazoa; Chordata; Mammalia; Carnivora; Ursidae
Description: lncRNA (ENSUMAG00000018203.1)
Source: RNAcentral